RNAcentral lists this long non-coding RNA (344 nucleotides) under Zostera marina. Its description in RNAcentral is "long non-coding RNA (ZMAR_LNC000287)". The record is from RNAcentral. Lineage: Eukaryota; Viridiplantae; Streptophyta; Magnoliopsida; Alismatales; Zosteraceae.
GAGAAUGGGACGGGUCACGGACGGGGCAUCCUUCCUGGAAGAUCCAUUCAAGAAAAUAUGAGCGCGACUGAGGUAGAGGAACAAAAAUGAGAAGUGGUAAAUAAAAUCGCCUAAUUGGUUUAAUAGACGAUCAUCCUUCUGGAUCGUCAUUUUACAUAAACAAGGCGCUUCUACUGGCGCAGGGAGUGAAUUGGAGGUUGGGGUGAUCGAUUUAUCGUCGAUUCAGAGCAAUACCCCUCUUCCUAUGGUCGUAUUUGUUGGGUUUAAUACAUUUCGCAUAUCAUCAGUAUCUCAUUCCUAUAGUAUAAAAAAAGAUUAAAUCUCAGCGGAUUGUGAUAGCAAGA